CGCGGUAAAACCAGCUCUCCGAGUGGUAGGGAUGAUUAUUGGGCUUAAAGCGUCCGUAGCCGGCCUGUCAAGUCUCCCGUUAAAUCCAGCGGCUCAAUCGUUGGGCUGCGGGAGAUACUGCAGAGCUAGGGGGCGGGAGAGGUCGACGGUACUCUCGGGGUAGGGGUGAAAUCCUAUAAUCCCGGGAGGACCACCAGUGGCGAAGGCGGUCGGCUAGAACGCGCUCGACGGUGAGGGACGAAAGCUGGGGGAGCGAACCGGAUUAGAUACCCGGGUAGUCCCAGCUGUAAACGAUGCAGGCUAGGUGUUGGGGUGGCUCGAGGCCACUUCAGUGCCGCAGGGAAGCCGUUAAGCCCGCCGCCUGGGGAGUACGGCCGCAAGGCUGAAACUUAAAGGAAUUGGCGGGGGAGCACCACAAGGGGUAAGCUGCGGUC
RNAcentral lists this ribosomal RNA (434 nucleotides) under uncultured archaeon. RNAcentral describes it as "bacterial SSU rRNA". It matches the Rfam family "Archaeal small subunit ribosomal RNA", at positions 466 to 902 of the family's 1478-position model. The record is from RNAcentral.